UGCUAGGUUAACGGUUGGACUCGAUCUUAAAGGUCUUUUCCAACCUAAACGAUUCUCUGAUUCUCUGAUUCUCUGACAGCUGACGUUUGGUGGAAGAACUCUGCCACCCCAUCAGCAGGAGCUGAUCUCUGAACAUCCUCUGGUGCCUUGGAAAUUUCUUUCCCUGGGUCUGAAAGGUUUUUAUGGGUGGUGAGAUGUUCCAGUGCUUGGAUCAAUGUUUCAUUUAAUGUUGGGAAGGAGGGGAUUUUUUUUGUUGUUUGGUUGGGUUUUUAAGUCAGCAUAGCAGAUCCAGGUGACGUGUAUCUACGUAUAUAAACACGUUCAACACUGUAUGUGCACAAAGCAAAUGUAACUGUCCCAGGGCAGAAAAAGACCAGGAGGAACUGCCACAGAGGGGGAAAGGGGAAGCUUUGGCUGAGGAGUUUUUCAAACUGGAUUGAUAUCGGAAGUGCAGUGAAAACCAUGAUACACAUGUGGACUAAAUGCAGAUUCUUUUAGCAAAGAAGCCGACUUCCACAAAAGAAACUGGGAUGUCGGGGAUUUACUUCACCAGCAGUGCUGUGUCAGCUGGAGCUCACCUUAGCCCCAGGUUUAGCAAGAUUUCUGCUAUGGUGUGAAUGACACGGAAGAGGAAAAUCUCUCUCCUGUGCUUAGAAGGCGAGGCUGAAGCAGCAUCUGCUGGAACGGUGUGAUCUCACAACGCUAAAGGAUGCGAAUCCUCAGGUGAGGUCCCAAACGCUACGCAGCACAGUGGGGAGCUUUGCUGCUGGCUUCGGUAUUGCUGGGAUUUCACCCCUCGGCCAGAGAACUGAAGCGUGCUUUUAAUUUCCUCCUGUGCUCAGGUCUGUCCCUGUUCAGCAGAGCGCUAAAUCCUCUGCCUGAGCGCUCGCAGUCCUCUGCCAGGACAAUGUGAGAGUUGUCAUGAGCUGUGUUUCGGGGAUUGCAUGAGCCAGGUUAGGGGAAUAAAAAUAAAAAUUAAAAAAAAAAAAAAAAUUUAUGUAUGUAUGUAAAUAUAAAAGCAUCCUGGGAUUUCUGGACUGAGAUCAGAUGUGAUGUGCUUUGGGUGAUGACAUCCUGCCAGUAACCCAGCGGACAAACCUGUGUAACGAUGCUUUUCCUUCACUGCAGACCUGCUGUCUGUCCCCUGCCACAGGAUUCCUUUAUAAAAGCCUGUUAAAAAUAACUCUGCUCUCCAGGAUAUUUAACUUGCUCUGUUUUCGGUUAGCCACUGCUGAACCUUAUAAAGGAGAGAGGUUUUUAACUUGCAGCCUGGUGUGUAUCCAGAGUUCAGAAAUCUCCGCAGAAGAUUAAGCAAGUUAGAGAAAUUAGCUUUGAUCCCUUUCUGCCAGCAUAGGAUUAUUCCGCAUCAUACUGGUUUUGAAGUUCAUGUCUAAUCCAGUUUUACACGUCUCAGGGGACUGGGCUUCUUACGACUUCUUCUGCGAAAUGGUUGUGUGGUGUAGCCUCUGAUUUAGAGGUACUUACUUGAUGCCGAGAUUCAAUUUGCAUUUCCAUUACUGCAUCCCAUUUCAUCCUGUGCCGUAUACAUAAUGUCGCUACUUUGUGGUAUAUGGCUUUCAAAGGCAUAUGGAUCAUUAUCGCGCUCAUGCUAUUUUAUAUGCUCACUACACACUUAGUCGAACUAUAUAUAUUUGAACCCCAUUCUUGCAAACAACUGUGCGUGACUUGUGUGUAGGUCUUCGAACUGCCGAACAUAUUUACAUACAAAAGGGCUUGUAAUGUCCAGUGUGGAUCAUAGUGCACAAAAACAACUGGUGUGAGAUGAUUAAAAGAGCCAUGGGUGCAGAAACAUUGCUAAUCAAGGCAAAGAGGAGGGUCAUGUUACUGUUUUCUGGCAAAGUGGAAGGUUCAAAUGGUCAGUCCUGAGGUUUUUUUAAAUGCACUGCGUUUCAUGCAUGAUGAGUUUGUAAAACCGUAAGUUUUCUUUCUAAUAAAUGUGUAUUUUCAGGCUUAAAAAA
Aquila chrysaetos chrysaetos is the source of this 1979-nucleotide long non-coding RNA. RefSeq lists it as uncharacterized. The record is from RefSeq and is a predicted model, not a curated record. NCBI's taxonomy places the organism in Eukaryota, Metazoa, Chordata, Aves, Accipitriformes, Accipitridae. The transcript has 2 exons.